Molecule: long non-coding RNA, 3085 nt
Filed under: Eptatretus burgeri (inshore hagfish)
Lineage: Eukaryota; Metazoa; Chordata; Myxini; Myxiniformes; Myxinidae
Description: lncRNA (ENSEBUG00000017512.1)
Source: RNAcentral
ACCCUUAUAUAAAAAGAUUUUGCACCUAAAGCCCCGUUUCUGAGCUGAGCAGAGACCAUCACAUCGUAUAGUCCAGAGCUUAUCUCAUUAGCUCGAGUACCGUGUUCGGCUCAGGUGUCCUCACGAAUCUUCAGACACCUGCCAUCGUGCUUUGACUCAAACCUACUUUUGGUCCUCGUCCAGCCAUGUUUGCCACUGCUGUUAGUCUUCUGUGUCUUCUUGCCAUCCUGCCUCCCUCGAGUGCCCCCAAUGUACCAGAUUCUUCUUCAGCACUGGGACAAUCGUAUGAGAAGUCGAUGAAGAAUCUAGGACUAGCCACCAAAUCAGAUGAUAAGUCGGUUUUACGAGCUUCUUAUGAUGGAGGGACUUAUGUCUUGGGAGCUGAGGGGCCUGGGACUAAUACUGGGAGAGACGAUCGUCCUCAAAACUGGCAAUACCCCAGCAAUAGGGCUGAAACUGGGGCAGAAGGGUUUUCUGGGCCAUACGAGACCAAACCUUCUCGUGGAUCAGCCAAUUACGGCCAUAAACUUAGUAAGCGUAAGGGCAGAUUACCCAAUGGUGAAGCCUACAUGAGACCCGAGUUUGGGAAUAUGAAAACCCCGACAUCACCAUACUCAACUGAUAUUAGGCAUGCACCUCAGUGGGGUUAUCCAGUUGGCAGUUAUGGACAUAAGGAUGGCCGCAAGUCUUCACGAGGCCCAGCGUUAGGUGAUCAAUCAGGCUAUCGGAAUGGUUGGCCUAAAAUCACAUCAGGGCCACACCAACCAUUACAUGCAGAGGCUCAGGCUGGGACCUAUGGGCUAAAAGCAGGACUCAAACCUGGACCUCGGCCAGCAUACCAGGCUGUAGCCUACUCUCAGCAGGCUGCACUUGGGGCAAGCUUGGGAAUGAAUGGGCAGUUGGCAUACCCAAGAGGUUGGCCGAGCAUCAAGUCACAGCCAAGGCCGGUUUAUCAAGCUGAGGCACAAGCAGGGGAUUAUGGACGCAAAGCAGGCAUUAGACACAGCGCUCCAAGGGGUUUCUCAGCUUUUGCUGGUGCAGGCACACCUCGAGCUCAAAAAUCUGGGUCACAUCUGGCUUAUCCCGCUGCACCUUUGCCUCAAAAGGCUAGGCCAGGAUUAGCCUAUCCGAACUGGCCAGCUGGGGGUGUCAGAUCUAAUGUAAGCCCAGGUCGACAAACCAUGGGUCACCAUGGCAAUGGUGCUUGGGGCUGGCGAGGGCCCAGCACAAUGCAUGCACCAAAGCCAAAGCGCUAUUGGUCAGUUAGAUUGCCAAAAGUGGAGGGUGGAACAAGCUACGGUGGUACUGCAGAUCGAGGAACUGGUGCAGAUGACCUUCGAGUUCAUCCCAGCUCUGCUCCACUUAUUUCUGAGCCCCAACAUGGACGUGCUCACCCUUUUCCCCCAUUAGCUGGCCUCCAGCCAAUGGAAGUCCACGGAGCAGCACAGCUUCCCAGCCAGACCCAAAGGAGACCCACAAAACAUGAAUGGGGCCAAGUGGUUGGGAUCGCAGGCGAGAGUGAACCAGAAGAACAGACAUCUGAAUUAUCGCUCCGCUGUCCUCCAGGAACACAUGCUACACAGCUGCUAGGCAUGGUGCUUUGUCAAAGGCCCUACGUAUGAGAAUGUCCUGGAUACCUGGGAGGGUCUUCACAAGUGCCACCCGGGCAUCUCAGAUUGGAAUUCUUUGCCACACAGUGGAGUUUUUGAAGCAAAAUUCAAUAAUUUCUGUACAUUUUAAAAGAAUCGGUGUUUUGUAGUUUUUCUCAAUUUCAGAUAUUUUAUAUAACUGUUAUUGUUGCAAUUUUUUUGUCAUUGUUUUACCUCUUCCUCUUGACUUUGUAACUUCUACAUCUCUGAGUAAAAUACUUCAAAAGGAUUUCAGUGAUAUCGGCCAUGGUUAAAAUAUAACAUCACGAGGUCCAUUGGGAAAUUGAACUUCGACUGGAAGGAUUAACAAGAAAUGGGAAAUAAAAUGAUUUUGCAAGAUUUACUCUUGGUGUGCAGACACACACCUCUCAAUCAGCAGAUGCUUAUGCUAGUGACAUGUAUAAGUCUCUGUAAUGUGCUCACGAUGUACCUGGUACAUGUCUCUAAUGUGCUUUCUACCUGAUACAUGUCUUUGUAAUCUGCUCACCGUGUACCUGGUAUGAGUUUCUGUAAUAUCGUCCUUUCCACAGUACUGAAACAAACACGUUACUCGAGAUAUAACUGUGAUGUUUAAUUAGAAUUCCUGGAGAUGGUUAGCUUAGCUUACCCAGCAAAGAGUCACUCUAUCCUUCAGGGCUAGUCAAUAACAGCUCCUGAUGCACACACCAUGUUCAGCUCUACAUUGUGAAUCUUAAUAUAAUUAAAUUAUCUCGGCGAUGAAGACGAUAUACUCUUGUGGAGUUCAGUCUUGUGGAGUAGCCAAACCCGACUUUAUAAUAACUCUGUCUUUGAGGAUAAUCGGCAUGCUGAACCAAAAAUGUAACUGAAAACAAACAGUCUUAUGCUAUACGAACAAUGUAACUCUCCCGUCAGUGUUACAUGAGACAGAACAAUUAUAUAAACCAAGGCAAUUGGCCAAUUAAUAGCAGACAAUCUUACUGUAAUGGAGCAAUCGUGGACGUCACCGAAACUCCAAAAUGGACAUGUGGCUGAAAUAGCGCCAGCCUUGGUGUUAGUCGGUAUUACAAAUGAUCUUCCUUUAUCUUAUGAAGAGCAGAGGUAUGGACACCUUCUGCUGAAGGACUUUAGAGUUUAGAAAAAGAGAGGCAGGUACGAUGCACAAUUCCAAUUAAUUCAUCACAUAAUUUCGCAGGCAACAUUAAUAUGGAAUAGGCAAAGCCGAGAAGCAAACGUAGAAUUCUUCUUUCAUUCGCUUCUGACUUUACAUUAAACUAGUUCACAACUGUAUACUUGCCAACUAUACCAUGGUAAGUGUAGCGCCGCACAGCUGAUGAUUUUGACGCAAUUUCCGGUUACUUCGGCCUGGAUUCGGGAUCAGCGAUCAAAUAAUGUAAAUCACGAUUAAAAAAUAUUUUUUGAUGAUGCGGGAGAUAUCUUUAUUAAAAUUAACUUUGGGAAAAAAAUAAUUGAAUAAA